Molecule: ribosomal RNA, 492 nt
Filed under: uncultured Aeromonas sp.
Lineage: Bacteria; Pseudomonadati; Pseudomonadota; Gammaproteobacteria; Aeromonadales; Aeromonadaceae
Description: partial 16S ribosomal RNA
Source: RNAcentral
CACGGAGUUAGCCGGUGCUUCUUCUGCGAGUAACGUCACAGCUGGCAGUUAUUAGCUACCAACCUUUCCUCCUCGCUGAAAGUGCUUUACAACCCGAAGGCCUUCUUCACACACGCGGCAUGGCUGCAUCAGGGUUUCCCCCAUUGUGCAAUAUUCCCCACUGCUGCCUCCCGUAGGAGUCUGGACCGUGUCUCAGUUCCAGUGUGGCUGAUCAUCCUCUCAGACCAGCUAGGGAUCGUCGCCUUGGUGAGCCAUUACCUCACCAACUAGCUAAUCCCACCUGGGUUCAUCCAAUCGCGCAAGGCCCGAAGGUCCCCUGCUUUCCUCCGUAGGGCGUAUGCGGUAUUAGCUACCGUUUCCAGUAGUUAUCCCCCUCGACUGGGCAGAUCCCCAGGCAUUACUCACCCGUCCGCCGCUCGCCGGCAAAAGUAGCAAGCUACUUUCCCGCUGCCGCUCGACUUGCAUGUGUUAGGCCUGCCGCCAGCGUUCAAU